CCCUUUAACAGGUAGUGAUGAAUGCUGUACAUGAAGAAACCCAAGCAGAAGAGGAUGAUCAUGAAGGACAAGGUGGUGAGGGUGUAGAGGGCCAUUCGUUUCUCCAUGCUGCCCUGAUGAGGCAGAUAAAGGGUGCAGGGCAGGCCUCGGGGCUGCAGUGAAUGACGGUGUGGCUCACCAUUGGCAGUGGUUGGUACAUGAGAAGGAAUAAAAGCACACCCUGGGCGCCGACCUGCAGCAGGAAGUAAAGGAGGUACAAAAGGGAAAGCAUCUUCUCCUGGGGGAGGUUCAGAUGGACUUUGGAGAGCGGUCUUGCUCCUGGAUUCCCACCAUGGAGCCCUCCUCCGCCUCACCUGCUACCGACUCCUCUGACUUGAGCUUGAUCUGCUUAUGCCGAAUCUGAGCCAUGAAGAAUUCCAUGAGGAAGAAGAGGGAUAGGAAGACAAAGAAAAAGAAGUACCAAAUUCCCACUACAGGACUGCUAAACCUUCUUUCAAAACACUCAGUCAAACAAGCAUAGGUGAUGUUGCCAUGGCACUGGAAAUGUUCAUGGAUGGAGGACCAGGGCAUGCGGACCAUGUACAACACCAUUCCAUACAUGGCGAUGAAGCCAAACCACAGAUGUCACCCGACGUAGCAGCCAGACUUGUCACCGGCCACAGAGUGCAACACAGGGAUCAGUCCAGCCACCGCUGCUGCAGCCAUCUCCUCAGACUCUCAGGGGACAACGGAAUCCGAGACUAAGAGAAUGCUCACUGAUGGCACCUCGGGAAGGAAAGGAAAGGAAAGAGAAGGACGCAGGGUCAGAACGGGAGAGCGGGUGCCAAGAACGCUAAGCACAUCCGAGAAGACUGCUCGAGUGUGGAUCCGCACCAGCAGUCAGUAUCCUAUCUUUACACACAAGCAGUAUCUGCACUCCCAUGACGCGGUUAUUCCUCUCUCCAGGUUUCAGCCAUGAUAAAGGCCGUCCACCUCUGGACACGCUCAGCCACAUUAUAAUUACACAUGUCCGUGUCAUCUCUCCUGCUGCAUUAUAAGCUUCUGGAGAUCAGGAAUGAGACUUUAUUCACCUUUACAAUGCCCUCAUCAUCCAGCAUAGACCAUUACAUAUAAUAAGGACCUAUUCAGACUAGACAAACGAAUGAGGGAAGGAACAAAUACGUAAAUUGAACAAUUCUGGUUGUGUCUGGCUGUUCUAGAAGCCCUACGGCAAUCUCUAUACUUUGUAUCUUUGCCAGGAAAUUCCCUAAGACCAUAGAGAAAAGGAGUGGAACAUCCCCUUUUCUUUCUUACACAUGACUUUAUUUCAUCCAUAACUCUUCAGAUGGUACCUAUCACCACACUUUAUUUAUAAUAAUAAUGAAAAUAUUGACCACUUAUGACUGGCUAAAUACGGCAAGCCCUGUGCUAGUAGUUUAGAUACAUUACCUUUACAGAAGGAUAAAACAUUUUAAAUAUUUGUAUUUGCUUAAUUUGGGUAAUUGUCAGUGUUUGUCCUCUCUUACAUAGUUCUUAUAAAUGACAGGGACCAAUCACUUAACUUGAGGUUUAUAAUAUUUAAUAAAAUGCUUUGGGUUGUUUUAUUACAGUAAAAUAUACAUAACACAAAAUUUACCAUUUUGACCAUUUUAACUGUCCAGUUCUGUGGCAUUAAGUACAUUCACAUUGCUGUGCAACCAUCACCACCAUCCAGCUCCAAAACUAUUUCAUCUUCCCAAACUGAAAUUCUGUACCCAUUAAACAAACAAUAACUGCCCAUCUUCCCCCCUCUUUCCAGCCCCUGGAAACUACCAUUCUACUUUCUGUCUCUACAAAUUUGACUACUCUGGGAACCUCCUCCAAGAGGAAUCAUGCCAUGUUUGUUCUUUCGUGUCUGGCUUAUUUCACUUAGCAUAAUGUCUUUAAGUUUCAUCUACGUUGUAGCACGUGCCAAAAUUUCCUUCUUUUCUGGCUGAAUAAUACUCCACUGUGUGUACGUGCCGUCCCACACUGUGUUUCUCCAUUCAUUUAUCAAUGGACAUUCGCGUUGUUUCCACCUUUCAGCUACCGUGAAUAAAGCUGCUAUGAGCAUGAGUGUACAAAUACGUUUGAGUCCCUGUGAUCACUUCUUGCGAGUAGAUGACCAGAAGUAGGACUGCUGGAUCAUGUGGUAAUUCUGCGUUUGAUUUUUUUGAGGAAUCUCCACACUGUUUUCCACAGUGCCUUUGCCAUUUUAUAUUCCCACCAGCAAUGCACAAGCGUUCCCAUUUCUCCAUAUCCUUGCCAGCACUUGUUAUUUCUUGGGUUUAAAAAAAAAAAAACGCUUUGGAUUUUAUUGAAAAAUAGUCACAGCUAGCACUUGAAAGUCUCUUUAAAAGAUCAGCAAUAUUUCUAAAUUACCCCCAAGUAUCAGGUCACAUUUGAACAGUCCAAACACAGCAAUCACGAGAGGCAGCCUCCAGAGUGAACUGGUGGAUGCAGGACUGCAUGCUCCGCCCGCGCGGAGGGUGGACCAGCAAAAUGCUGAAGGCAUAGAUGGGAACAUGAGGCAACAAUGCAGACAUCGAGUGCCCACUAUGCGCCAGGCACUCUGCUAUCAACCAACAGUUAUGCCUUCAUUGUCUCAUUUAUUCCUUAGAACAACUUUGAGAUGGGUAUAAAUAUUCCCAAUUUUCUAUUGAGAUAGGAACGAUAAGAGAACUGAGAACAGACAAGAAAACUGGGAUUUAGAAUGCUUAAGUGACUGCCCCACAAUCACGCAGCCGAGUAAACAGAGGCACCAGGAUGAGAACCAGAACUGUCUUUAACUUGGCAGCCUGAAUUUUGGACUUUGCCUGCUUCACAAGUUCGUGGCCCGAGUUGACAGGGAAGAAAGGGGAGAGCCACGCCAAGCUCCUUGAAAGAGAUGACCGUCUACCCACACUGUCUACCCCUCCUCACUGCUGCUGCGUCACCCCCUCCUAUGUGGGCAUCUCCAUCUCCACCAGAAGAAUGAUGUGCUUGCUUUAAAUCAAGCAACAGGAACUCACUGUUUUCCUUUUGGCUUGCCUGAAAUCUCAGAGCUACAUGUCCAAUUAUAGCAAUUUUAUUAGACCAGGUUCAUGGUAUAUUUAUUUUCCUUUCCUGAUAUUUUUUGUUUUAAUUUUAUGGUUUGAUACCAUAGGUCAUAUUGUAAGCUACUGGAGCUAAAAUUUCUAAAUAGAC
Molecule: long non-coding RNA, 3183 nt
Filed under: Equus caballus (horse)
Lineage: Eukaryota; Metazoa; Chordata; Mammalia; Perissodactyla; Equidae
Description: lncRNA (ENSECAG00000052568.1)
Source: RNAcentral